CAGGGAAACAACAAAAUGAUUAGUAUUAUUAUUUUGUCACCUUAAGUGAAAGAGUAUCUCACGAGGUUAGUUUGAUAAGAAUUUCGUUUCCUAGACUUUUCUAGGNCACACCCUUUAUUUUUCCUGGGACAUUAGAUCAGGUGGGUAAAGCGCACCCCUGAUAAGGGUGAGGUCCCUGGUUCAAGUUCGGGAUGGCCCAUAUCUCUAUGUUGGGGGUAUAGGUCAGUUGGGAGAGCGCCUGCUUUGCAAGCAGGAUGUCAGCGGAUCAAGUCCGCUUACCUCCACUGAUUACCACCUCUUCCAUAACUGGAAGAAAGGAAAUGNUUUGAGUUGUGAUUAUUAUUCUGAACGAAUCUACCUUCCUAAUGAAAUCUUUAAGAUGCUGGACUCAUUGAAUUAAUUUUAUUGUUUUCAGAGAACCUUGACAACUGCAUAGAUUUUUUUAAAAACAAUAAACAUCUUUAAUGAUGACNAUUUAUUAUUUGUGCGAAGGCAUUAAUAACAAUUCUAUUAAGCUGAUGCUUCAAUUUUUGAAGUUAUU
This 541-nucleotide transfer RNA is filed under the name uncultured Prochlorococcus sp. RNAcentral describes it as "partial 16S-23S ribosomal RNA intergenic spacer". The stretch from base 212 to 284 matches the Rfam family "tRNA". Lineage: Bacteria; Bacillati; Cyanobacteriota; Cyanophyceae; Synechococcales; Prochlorococcaceae. The record is from RNAcentral.